GGCUGAGUCAAAUGUGGCGACGAUUCUUAGAGCCGGAAGUCCCAAAGCAGUGUGGAGAGAGCGACGGAACAAACAGAACUGUCUGGAUGGCAGCAACAGAUAGAAAAAUCUGCGGUGUCUCUAGCCACAGCACUGAAGCCACACCCAGAAUUUAAAUUUGGAUGACAUCCAUUGUAUUUGU
RNAcentral lists this long non-coding RNA (181 nucleotides) under Cavia porcellus (domestic guinea pig). Its description in RNAcentral is "FTX transcript, XIST regulator conserved region 5 (ENSCPOG00000035224.1)". It matches the Rfam family "FTX transcript, XIST regulator conserved region 5". The record is from RNAcentral. Lineage: Eukaryota; Metazoa; Chordata; Mammalia; Rodentia; Caviidae.